GAUGAAGAACGUAGCGAAAUGCGAUACGUAAUGUGAAUUGCAAAUUCAGUGAAUCAUCGAGUCUUUGAACGCACAUUGCGCCCCCUGGUAUUCCGGGGGGCAUGCCUGUCCGAGCGUCAUUGCUGCCCUCAAGCACGGCUUGUGUGUUGGGCCCCGUCCUCCGAAUCCGGGGGACGGGCCCGAAAGGCAGCGGCGGCACCGCGUCCGGUCCUCGAGCGUAUGGGGCUUUGUCACCCGCUCUGUAGGCCCGGCCGGCGCUUGCCGAUCAACCCAAAUUUUUAUCCAGGUUGACCUCGGAUCAGGUAGGGAUACCCGCUGAACUUAAGCAUAUCAAUAAGCGGAGGA
This 345-nucleotide unclassified non-coding RNA is filed under the name soil metagenome. RNAcentral describes it as "partial contains 5.8S ribosomal RNA, internal transcribed spacer 2, and large subunit ribosomal RNA". The stretch from base 1 to 119 matches the Rfam family "5.8S ribosomal RNA", at positions 35 to 154 of the family's 154-position model. The record is from RNAcentral.